CUUCAGACUAAAUUAGAUUUAUAAAAUAAUUUUAUAUGAAAAGUUUCUAAUUGUUACUUCUGCUGUUGUGGUGGGACCAUAAAAUCAACCAAAUUCCUGCAAUUAAUUACAGGAGCUGGAUGACAAUGAUGACAAUGAUGACAGACCCGAAGAUAGAAACAUCUAAUUAGUUAA
Xiphophorus couchianus (Monterrey platyfish) is the source of this 174-nucleotide long non-coding RNA. RefSeq lists it as uncharacterized. Lineage: Eukaryota; Metazoa; Chordata; Actinopteri; Cyprinodontiformes; Poeciliidae. The transcript is spliced from 2 exons. The record is from RefSeq and is a predicted model, not a curated record.